RNAcentral lists this ribosomal RNA (253 nucleotides) under uncultured bacterium. RNAcentral describes it as "partial 16S ribosomal RNA". It matches the Rfam family "Bacterial small subunit ribosomal RNA", at positions 524 to 776 of the family's 1533-position model. The record is from RNAcentral.
UACAGAGGGUGCGAGCGUUGUUCGGAAUCACUGGGCGUAAAGCGCACGUAGGCGGAUUGCUAAGUCAGGGGUGAAAUCCUGGAGCUCAACUCCAGAACUGCCUUUGAUACUGGCAACCUUGAGUCCGGGAGAGGUGAGUGGAACUGCGAGUGUAGAGGUGAAAUUCGUAGAUAUUCGCAAGAACACCAGUGGCGAAGGCGGCUCACUGGCCCGGUACUGACGCUGAGGUGCGAAAGCGUGGGGAGCAAACAGG